Molecule: non-coding RNA, 1447 nt
Organism: Crotalus tigris (Tiger rattlesnake)
Lineage: Eukaryota; Metazoa; Chordata; Lepidosauria; Squamata; Viperidae
Source: the annotation of a RefSeq genome assembly
AGCAUUGUUUCUUCAUUGGCUAGACAGGCUCAGAAGCCACUCCUCCUGCUAAUGAAGUGCUCAAAGGAGCUUCCUGUGUUUCAAGAUUCAAGGGCAGAGUCAUCCCGUGACAUCCUCUUGCAAUGGAAGUUAUCUGGUGGGAGACCCUUGGCUUGAAGCUGUUGGCAGUCUAUGCAGGUCUUUGCCAUGCUAUUAUAGUGACCCAGAAGGAACGCUUCAAAAUCAUCCCAGAGGGGAUCCAGACAAAUAUCACCUGCAAUUAUGAUGAUAGCAGCUACAUCAUACUCUUUUGGUAUCGGCAGGACAGCAACGCUGGAGAGAAGCAGUUCCAGCUUAUUGGAUACUCCAUUGCUGAAAGUGAUAUGAGAAGGGAAAUCUUGACAUAUGAGAUCACUAGAAGAGCAGUGACUCAUUCUUCCCUUAUCAUCCCUCCGGAAGAGGCUGCAAAGCCCGCAGUAUACUUCUGUGCAGUUAGUGAGGCACAGUGAGAACUCCAGGUCACCCAGCUACACACAAACUACCUAGCGCUGUUUUGUUGCCGGUCUGUGUCACAUAGAUUGCAGCCAUGUGCACAGAUCCAUCCACACAGGAUUGAAGCGAAACACUGUUUGCCUCUGAAUUGUGAUUUUAUUCAUUGAUUUCUCUGCUCGUAUUUUCAAUUAUUACACAUUUCCCUUUUUGAGAAGUUAACCAUUUAUUUAUUUCUUAAUUUGCAAAAUGUCAAUGCUGUCCCAGUCAUAGCACAUUAAGUGGAUAGAAGAAGGCCCACAAAUACAUCUAAUACUAUUUAUGAUCAAAUGAGGGCCAUUGGUAGUCUUCCACAAUUCCAAACUGGAAUGAGAGCUUUCCAAGCCAGAGCUUUAGAAGUGAGUUGCAAUCUUGCAAAAGAUAUAGCAAUAGCAAUAGCGUUUAGACCGUUUAGACCGCAUCAUAGUGCUUCACAGCACUCUCUGGGCAGUUUACAAUGCGGAAGUGCUAUAUUUGCAUAUUGGCCCCAACAAUUUGUGUCCUCAUUUUACUGAUUUUGGAAGGAUGGAAGGCUGAACUUUGAGCUAUUCUGUGAAUUGACCAGAAACACAAACAAACAAGCAAACAGAUUUCUAAUUGUUAUGCCAUACCUAACGAAAGCAGGGACUUUGUAUUAUCUGUCAUUCAAAAGAUUUAAUAAUAAACAUUUGGAUUUCUUUCUGUGCCUAGAGAGACCACUAUGGCAGUGUUCAGAAAAGCUUGAUUAAGGUUGGGACCACUGUCAGCGUUUAGGUGGCAUAGCUUGGACCUCCUUCAAGCCACUCAUUCUUUUGCUUUAAAAUCCCGUCUUAAGCAAGCAAAGAAUAUGUGUAUGUAGUGGCAAUAUAUUUUUUUCUGAUCAGUCCCAAGAAUACAUGGUGCUUUUGCCAAGGAAAAGGUCAGUAUGUUCCUGGGGCAUUUAGAGAUGCCUCUGCUCACU